ACAACUGCAUGCUUAGUAGCGGCGAGUGAAGCGGCAAAAGCUCAAAUUUGAAAUCUGGCUCUUUCAGAGUCCGAGUUGUAAUUUGAAGAAGGUAUCUUUGGGUCUGGCUCUUGUCUAUGUUUCUUGGAACAGAACGUCACAGAGGGUGAGAAUCCCGUGCGAUGAGAUGAUCCAGGCCUAUGUAAAGUUCCUUCGAAGAGUCGAGUUGUUUGGGAAUGCAGCUCUAAGUGGGUGGUAAAUUCCAUCUAAAGCUAAAUAUUGGCGAGAGACCGAUAGCGAACAAGUACAGUGAUGGAAAGAUGAAAAGAACUUUGAAAAGAGAGUGAAAAAGUACGUGAAAUUGUUGAAAGGGAAGGGCUUGAGAUCAGACUUGGUAUUUUGUAUGUUACUUCUUCGGGGGUGGCCUCUACAGUUUAUCGGGCCAGCAUCAGUUUGGGCGGUAGGAGAAUUGCGUUGGAAUGUGGCACGGCUUCGGUUGUGUGUUAUAGCCUUCGUCGAUACUGCCAGCCUAGACUGAGGACUGCGGUUUAUACCUAGGAUGUUGGCAUAAUGAUCUUAAGUCGCCCGUCUUGAACCACGGACCA
RNAcentral lists this ribosomal RNA (584 nucleotides) under Candida tropicalis. RNAcentral's name for it is "eukaryotic LSU rRNA". It matches the Rfam family "Eukaryotic large subunit ribosomal RNA", at positions 65 to 668 of the family's 3401-position model. Lineage: Eukaryota; Fungi; Ascomycota; Pichiomycetes; Serinales; Debaryomycetaceae. The record is from RNAcentral.